This 582-nucleotide long non-coding RNA is filed under the name Marmota monax (woodchuck). The record is from RNAcentral. Lineage: Eukaryota; Metazoa; Chordata; Mammalia; Rodentia; Sciuridae.
GCUGGAUCACAUCCCCUGAGACCUGUGGGGUUCGUCCGUGUUAUUAUCAUUUCAUGUUGAUUUUUUCACAGUUUCUGAAUAUUUUCAAACUGUCUCAGUGGCCACUGAGGUCAAGAGGUCAAGAGGGUGGAUGAGGAGCCUGGGCCCAGGGAGGCCCACAGGCUCGGGGUGCAGCUGUCUGCGCUGGAGCAUCAGGGAGGCAGGUCUCCAGGUGAGUGAGCGGGGCCUGCUGCUGUCCCACAGUGGGGAGGAAAGGCCACCAGGGCGCAGCGGCUAGUCCUGGCUGGUGGCACACCAGAGACGCAAACGGGGACUCAGGCAUAUCCUGCCCUCGAAGGCUGUGCCAGUGGAAUGAGCUCACGACGGGACAGUCCCAUGCGUGGUGUGGUCCAUCAGAAUCUCACAAUAAUCAGCAAGAUCCGAAGCCCCUUUCCCAUGGCCCCUUGCGAGUGCGACGCACGGGCUUUGUGGGCAGUGUCUCGGGUCCUCCUAAGAGCAAACGCGUCCAGCCCCUGCCUGGAUGCUGCAGGACGUUCCAGUCAUUGCUUCUCUAAUUCUUCUCAUGAAUUGCAGACGCCGGAC